GACGAACGCUGGCGGCGUGCUUAACACAUGCAAGUCGAACGAAGUGGCGAACGGGUGAGUAACGCGUAAUCAACCUGCCCUUCAGAGGGGGACAACAGUUGGAAACGAAAGCUAAUACCGCAUACCCAAGGUGGGGAAUGAGGUUGAUUAGCGAGUUGGAGGGGGAACGGCCCACAAAGGCGAGGAUCAGUAGCCGGUCUGGGAGGAUGAAGGGCCAGAUGGGGACUGGGACACGGCCCAGACUCCUACGGGAGGAAGCAGUGGGGAAUCGGCCGCAAUGGACGAAAGUCUGACGGAGCAACGCCGCGUGAGUGAUGACGGCCUUCGGGUUGUAAAGCUCUGUUAAGCGGGACGCGGUACCGGAAUAGAAAGCCACGGCUAACUACGUGCCAGCAGCCGCGGUAAUAC
Molecule: ribosomal RNA, 408 nt
Filed under: uncultured bacterium
Lineage: Bacteria
Description: partial 16S ribosomal RNA
Rfam family: Bacterial small subunit ribosomal RNA
Source: RNAcentral